GCCACAGGGUCUUCUAAGCCCUGGUGAAUGCUGUAAAGCAAAUACAUCUCAUUUAUCUCUUUGCAUAUUCCACAAAUUUUACCAUAUAACCUAUAUGUAGGAACUCUCAUUCCAUACUUAUCUUUAGUCUGUGUAUAGAGACAGAAUAUUGACCGAGAAUAGAAAAAUAAGGCUGGUUAGAUUACCUUUGUCAAGCUUAUGCUACACCCUAAUGGGGUUCAGGACACACUAUCCCAAAAUGUAGCUAGACAAUGAGUUCUCUGAGAGCAGGAUCCACCUAUUUGGUUGUAAUAGUUUUGUUUCUAUAAAUGUUGAAUGAGUGGAUCGAUUUAUCAAAAUAGAGUUUAUGAACAUAAAAAAUUGCCUUAUGCAACCAAGUUUGAUAAUAACAACAUGACCUUGAUAUUAAACUGAAAAAAGGCAUCUUCCAGUCUCUACUAUUACCACCUCUCCCCAACUAUUAUAGCCAUUCAAAUCUCUAACCAGGCUGAAUAUUAAAUAAAAUGGUUUACCAUCUGAUGUUAAGGUAUAAAGAUAAGAUUUUUUUUUUUCUGAAUUAAAAAAAAUAGUCCAAAGAAGAAGGAAGAAGAAAGGGGAUAUAAUGAGAAUGAGAAGCGUCAGAUAAUUAGGCAGCAGUCCAACAAUUAGGUUUUGUGGAACUUUUACUAUGUCAUCUAUUUAUUGGAAUUCCCCCUGGAUACCAGGACCCCCUCCAGCAGAGCUUAAAGUUAUAGUUACAGGAAGUACAAAUUCCUUAUGUGGAUCCCUGGAAGUGUGAUGAGAAGAACCACUGUUUCCAAGAUCUAUUUAUUCUAUUUAUCAGGCCUAUAAAAUCAUGUAAUGGCCAUGGCUUCAACUAG
Molecule: long non-coding RNA, 860 nt
Filed under: Homo sapiens (human)
Lineage: Eukaryota; Metazoa; Chordata; Mammalia; Primates; Hominidae
Description: long intergenic non-protein coding RNA 1320
Source: RNAcentral